GCGUCAGGUGUCACCAAGAGUCAGAAAACCCGCAGGCGCAGGGGCAUUUUCCCUGGCUGGGAGGGGGGUGGGGGCGGUCGAAGGGAAGGUGUGGGUCUGGGGCUUUUCUUUCACUCAGGGGUCCCACCCCGCUGCUUCGGGGUCGCAUCCAUUACCUUCGAAAAUGCUCAGUCCUUCGGUCCGGGGCGAGGCAGAAUGGAGGAUGGAGACAGAAACAGGUCAAGAAACAUCCAAGACAUUUUGCAAAUUGCCCAAGGUCACAGAGCCGACAAAUAGUGAUGGGAUUCAGAAACCUGUGCUGUGAACCACUGCCUCAGGGCAGAUGAGGAUUAGAAGACUUUCAGGGGUUGAAGAAUUUACACACGCUUCCACCUUCAUGAAAUGCAAGAGCCCGGAUUUAAAACCCAGAAGAGAAUGAUAAUAUUAUCCUAAAUCUGAAUAAUGAUUUACAAGGUG
Odocoileus virginianus texanus is the source of this 456-nucleotide long non-coding RNA. RefSeq lists it as uncharacterized. The record is from RefSeq and is a predicted model, not a curated record. Lineage: Eukaryota; Metazoa; Chordata; Mammalia; Artiodactyla; Cervidae.